Molecule: long non-coding RNA, 418 nt
Filed under: Equus caballus (horse)
Lineage: Eukaryota; Metazoa; Chordata; Mammalia; Perissodactyla; Equidae
Description: lncRNA (ENSECAG00000028414.3)
Source: RNAcentral
CUAGCAGAUACCAGGCUGGGAGUGAGCCCUCCGUUUGCCGGUCAACUGUUGAUCCUCUGUGGCUCAAACGAGGCUGCAAUUGGUGUCUACCUCUCCAGGAGAGAUCGUCCACUCGUUUCUGAGUGGGGCUCGCUAUCCCAGGCAGGACCAGCCUUCAAGUCCCCUGAGAACGCGGCUGGUGGCACCGUUGAUCCGGCACUGGAAGAUUAGCCCUGAGCUGACAGCUGCCAAUCCUCCUCUUUUUGCUGAGGAAGACUGGCCCUGAGCUAACAUCGUGCCCAUCUUCCUCUACUUUAUAUGUGGGACGCUUGCCACAGCGUGGCAUGCCAAGCCACGCCAUGUCCACACCCAGGAUCCGAACCGGCGAACCCCGGGCCGCCGAAGCGGAACAUGCACGCUUAACCCCUGCACCACUGGG